GGCAGAGUGGCUGAGUGGUCUAAAGCGUUAGACUUGAAUCAACUCUUCGAUUCCUGCUAUCUAAUACCUUCGGGUGCGCAGGUUCGAACCCUGCCUCUGUCG
Molecule: non-coding RNA, 102 nt
Organism: Trichoderma gamsii
Lineage: Eukaryota; Fungi; Ascomycota; Sordariomycetes; Hypocreales; Hypocreaceae
Source: Rfam